CCCCCGUGGCCCCGCCCCCGCCCCGGCCGCGGGCCCGGAGCCGCUGCAGACCCGGUGCCCCGCGCACCUGGCGGGGAGAAAGUUCGGGGUCCGCGAACACGCCGUGACCUUGAGACGGCGGCUCCCUGUCCCCGCGCCCGCCCCGCGGGGCGGCCAGGAGGGGGCGCUCGGGCGCAAGGGUCGGGGUCGGGGACCCGCCCUUGCCGUCCCACCGGUCUGCGGCGCCUCGGAGCCGGAGCCCGACCCGGACCGAGGCCCCAGGCCCCGUUUUGCGGGCCGGGCCGGGAAUUCGGGGGCGUCUGGCCGCUGUGGGCUCGGCGACUUCCAGACGCGCUCGAGCUGCGCCCGCCCGCCCGCUCGCUCCUGCAGAAGGCCCGGAAGUCCGCCCGGAGCCCUGCCCGCCGGCCUGUUUCCCGGGUUCUCGGACGGAGCCGGCCCGGCCCUGGCAGUUGUUUUGCCCUCGCUGAAGACCGGUGGCGUCGCCGAGGCUGAGCGCCCGCCCUUCCCGGUCCCCCGGCCCCACCACACCUGGCCAGCGCCACCCUGACUCCGGGCUGCGGCGUCGCCCUCGUCUGCGGACGGAGCCGCGCGCGCGCGGCCUCCUGACUUUCCGGCACGGCUUCGUGGGGAAGCCAGACGGCGCUCCGAAGGACAGCCGCGCAGGCCGCGCCUCCGGUGGCGGGGAACGACGGGAGUAAACCCUGCGUUCGGCCUGAUGCCCCCACUCUUCCUCCUCCGACCGAACUUUGGUGCCGUGGACCCCGCGACAUCCGGCUCCUGCACCACGGUCACGAGAAGCAGCACGUUUUAAUUCUAAAGCCUCGGGCUUUCCUUCCUAAGCGAGUUGUUCCAAAACAUCGCAUUUUCCGGAUUCCGAGUGACAAGGGACAGUAAGGCAGAGAAGGUGCGGAUCGUCCCUGCAACGCUAACUACAAGGCCUGGGAGGGCUGCGCUCCAGCUCGCAGACAGCGGAGAGCUCACGUUCCUCCCUCGCUCCCCACCUCCGUCCCUGUUAGCUUCUCCGAUUAGGACCGCAGCGCAGGUCUGGGCCCACACAGGUGAGGACGUGUGCGAAGCUGAUUGCUGGUUGGAACCGAGUCCCUGGCUCUGUUGAGCGAAUGAGCUUGCCCCGCCCACACACGUGAACUUGUCCGUCCUCCUGGAGGAAGAAAGAUUCCCGAAGCAAAGUACCGAGUAGCAGAACGAGGGACGGGGUGUUGGCCUCCCCCUGUUUCCCCGUGGAAGAAGGGAUGCAUGCCUGCUGCGAAUCUGGGGGUUCGCGUUCCGCAGAGAAGAGCAGAAGUGUAGAAGUGCUUUGAAGUGAUCGCUCGCUGGGUGCACACUUUGAUUGGUCUGAGGGCGACAGUUCGGCCUCUUCCCUGGCUCUUCAAAAUCUUUAUUUCAGGGCCUGCUUACUUCCAAAGUGCGGCUGCUCAUCAGAGCCACCUAAGGAGCUCCCAGGGCAGCCGAGGCCCCAGCCCCCGAUCUUCUCUCCAGGACAGAAACUCAUUCUGUCUGUUCUGGUGGGGCAUGCGUGAUCACUAGUAAAGCAGUUGCUAAUGAAAACUGGGCUUUCCCCUGUGGCCCCCAUCUGCACAGGUAGGGGAAGCACUGUUGUUUUUACAGCUCCUGUGUCUUUCUCCCGGGCCACCGCUGAACUAUGUAAAUAACUAGCUGGUUUUCCUUUUCUCUCAUUCUCAAGCCCCACAUAAUUCACAUAGUAGUCCUUUUCAUAUUUGUCUAUAAAUAAGUGAAUGCAGUCCAGGGAUCAGUUCACGUAAACUGCAUUUGCAGUUAUAUUAAAAGCAUCAGGUCCAGAAUGUGUCCCUUAACCUGCUUCCUCCUGGAAUCCUUUGCGUCCUCUUCCAGGACCUUCUCUCUGCAUUUCUUCCACACAACACUUUGAUUAUUCCUCCUCCUUUUUCCUAGUUCUUUUCCUUUUCUGGACAUUUUUUUCCUUAGCUGUUUGUCCCUCUCGUUCUGUGCUACCUUUAUUUUAGUUCCCCAGUGAACUGAAGUUGUUGGAGGACUGGCACCAGAGCACCGGAGUUUUCAUUUGUGUGUAUUCUGACCUUCAGUUCCCAAGGGAUGCUUGCUGGCCCACUCCUGGGUUUCCAGAAGGAGAACAUGGGGUCUGGAACAGUCGGCCCCCAGGGGUAGACGUCAGGAGGUACAGACUGUGCUCGAGUCACCAUCCGCCGUCUGCCUCCCUUUGUCUUCUACUUUUUGUAACAAAAAUUAUCAACUUCGAAUCCCUUAAGAGUGGCCCGUAUCACUGCCCAAACCUCUCACGUUUGCGGGUACUGGCCCGGCCCCUGAGUGCAUUCUGCCUGCAAACAGAGACAGCCCACUUGGACAAGGGUAUGGACCUGGCUGAAAAUCACAACUACACUGGAAAUGGGAAACCAUUUGUUCAUAAAUUUACCAAAAAAAGGAAAUUUCAAGACAGCCUCAUUAAAGACCUGUUAAAAGUUCAUUUACUAGAUAGCUGUUGCUCCUUUGUGAAAACAAAAUUAAAUGUAAAGAACUAAACGAAAAUUAUACUAAGUCACCUUUGCUCCAAUUAUUCUUUCAUUUCAUGACUGCAGACAAAUGUCCUAUCAGAUCAACUCACGAUGUGCACUGAAGAUGUACAUGUUCAGCACCACCCCUUUGUGCUCCUGCAGGCUGAAACCCCUCCAGUAACAGUCAGGGGACAUUAAGGGUGCAGGUCAGUGUCACCAGGGAUGCCGAACAGAUGCUGCUUGUGAUAUCCCGUCAUGAUGUAGACUCUACAAGACAAAAUAAGUAUUUUGACUGUUACUCUUCUCAGACUUCCUUCAAAAUUGACCACACUACCAUUAACAAAAAGUGCUAAUUAUGUCAACCCAAGCUACAACGCAAGAGUUCACUCAGAAGAUAUGGGCAAUGAUUGAAUUUUCAAAAUAUUACAGUAAAAGACACAUUGCUAUUAAUCUUCCUCAGAAUACUUCUCCUCCCUUUGAACACACUUUCUGAAAGUCUGAAUGCACUUUCUGAAGCCUCUCUGGAAGUCCUCUUUCCAGAGUGUCUUGAGUUGCACUGUCAUUGCUGUCUCAAAGUCCUGGAUCAAUUCAAGACUUUGCCUUUUGUGGUCAUGUUGAAUUUGGGAAAGAGUCAGAAGUCAUAUGGAGGCAGAUAAGGCGAAUGAGGACAUCCCAUCAUGUUUUCGUUUCACAGAAAUUGCUGAUUCAGGACGUGGAGGCGGACAUGAAGAGACACUUACGCCGUCCAUGACAGUGGUUGGUAAAGCGUUACCUGCACUGCAACCUGAGUGGCCUUACAUCAUCUCCCGUGGGUAACUGCAGUGAGGGCCUGAUGAACACACAGUAGGAGUGACCAGACAGCUGUGACCAGGACACAGCAUGAUGGGAACAGCUCCUACGAUUUAAAGGAAAUAAGGGUCAUUAGGGUAUAGGAGUCCAGGUAGCAACUUAACCCCCAGAGUCAAGG
Molecule: long non-coding RNA, 3471 nt
Organism: Heterocephalus glaber (naked mole-rat)
Lineage: Eukaryota; Metazoa; Chordata; Mammalia; Rodentia; Bathyergidae
Source: Ensembl